RNAcentral lists this ribosomal RNA (586 nucleotides) under Umimayanthus chanpuru. RNAcentral's name for it is "partial 16S ribosomal RNA". It matches the Rfam family "Bacterial large subunit ribosomal RNA", at positions 1858 to 2423 of the family's 2925-position model. The record is from RNAcentral. Lineage: Eukaryota; Metazoa; Cnidaria; Anthozoa; Zoantharia; Parazoanthidae.
CCUGCCCAAUGGUUGUAUCUAAAAGCGGUUGAUAAAAGUCGACCGCGUAAGGACAAUUGAAUGGCCGCGGUAACACUGACCGUGAUAAUGUAGCGUAAUCAAUASCCAAUUAAUUGUUGGCCAGUAUGAAUGGCGCCACGAAGGCCCCACUGUCUUAAGGAAAUUCCCAGUGAAAUUGAAUUCGUAGUGAAGAUGCUACGUCCAAUUUGUUAGACGAAAAGACCCCGUUGAGCUUUACUGGGGCACUUACACGGCCCCGGCCUUCAAGACUGGGUUGAUAAGCCAAGGCUUACCAUACCUAGGGACCGGCCGAAUUUAAAUGGGCGGCUUAGACUAUGUGGCAGCCCCCCCCGUCGGGGCAGAUGAAACCCCACUCCCCCAUGUCAAAGGGGCUAACCCCCCCCCCCUUGGGGGGGGACAAUGUAAGUAGGACAGUUUGGUUGGGGCGACCGCCUUUUAGAGAGUAACGAAGGUGCGCUUAAGGUGCGUAAUUAAUGACUGAAGCCUGACUGCGAGGGGGACACCCCGAGCAGACACCCCCAAGCCCGCCCGAGAAGGCUUUGCCUUCUGGGCGGCGGUGGGGUGG